Molecule: transfer RNA, 76 nt
Filed under: Vibrio phage Pontus
Lineage: Duplodnaviria; Heunggongvirae; Uroviricota; Caudoviricetes; Demerecviridae
Description: tRNA-Trp
Rfam family: tRNA (bases 4-70)
About the family: Transfer RNA (tRNA) molecules are approximately 80 nucleotides in length. Their secondary structure includes four short double-helical elements and three loops (D, anti-codon, and T loops).
Source: RNAcentral
AUUGGGUAGCAUAAUGGUAUGCGGCAGGUCUCCAAAACCUUGCAUGGAGAGGGUUCAAUUCCCUCACCCUUUGCCA